This 200-nucleotide unclassified non-coding RNA is filed under the name soil metagenome. Its description in RNAcentral is "partial contains 5.8S ribosomal RNA, internal transcribed spacer 2, and large subunit ribosomal RNA". The record is from RNAcentral.
GGCAUGCCUGUUCGAGCGUCAUUAUGACCAAUCACGCAAGUGGUAUUGGGGCUUGCCGUUCGGCAUCCCUUAAAGCUAGUGGCGGUGCCCUAGGCUCUCAGCGUAGUACAUACGCCGCUGUUGAGCCCUAGAAGUACCUGCCGGAACCCCAACUUUCUACGGUUGACCUCGGAUCAGGUAGGGAUACCCGCUGAACUUAA